RNAcentral lists this non-coding RNA (50 nucleotides) under Chloropicon primus. The record is from RNAcentral. Lineage: Eukaryota; Viridiplantae; Chlorophyta; Chloropicophyceae; Chloropicales; Chloropicaceae.
AAGCAAGCGGGUGGCCCUAAGCGACCUCAGCAAGGUCACUGGGACGACCA